RNAcentral lists this ribosomal RNA (200 nucleotides) under uncultured bacterium. RNAcentral describes it as "partial 16S ribosomal RNA". It matches the Rfam family "Bacterial small subunit ribosomal RNA", at positions 30 to 233 of the family's 1533-position model. The record is from RNAcentral.
AUUGAACGCUGGCGGCAGGCCUAACACAUGCAAGUCGAGCGGCGAAAGUUCUUCGGAAUGAGUAAAGCGGCGGACGGGUGAGUAAUACAUGGGAAUCUGCCUGGUAGUGGGGGACAACGUUUCGAAAGGAACGCUAAUACCGCAUACGCCCUACGGGGAAAGGGGGGGAUCUUCGGACCUCUCGCUAUCAGAUGAGCCCA